GAUGAACGCUGGCGGCGUGCCUAAUACAUGCAAGUCGAGCGAACAGACGAGGAGCUUGCUCCUCUGACGUGAGCGGCGGACGGGUGAGUAACACGUGGAUAACCUACCUAUAAGACUGGGAUAACUUCGGGAAACCGGAGCUAAUACCGGAUAAGAUAUUGAACCGCAUGGUUCAAUAGUGAAAGACGGUUUUGCUGUCACUUAUAGAUGGAUCCGCGCCGCAUUAGCUAGUUGGUAAGGUAACGGCUUACCAAGGCAACGAUGCGUAGCCGACCUGAGAGGGUGAUCGGCCACACUGGAACUGAGACACGGUCCAGACUCCUACGGGAGGCAGCAGUAGGGAAUCUUCCGCAAUGGGCGAAAGCCUGACGGAGCAACGCCGCGUGAGUGAUGAAGGUCUUCGGAUCGUAAAACUCUGUUAUUAGGGAAGAACAAAUGUGUAAGUAACUAUGCACGUCUUGACGGUACCUAAUCAGAAAGCCACGGCUAACUACGUG
Molecule: ribosomal RNA, 497 nt
Filed under: uncultured bacterium
Lineage: Bacteria
Description: partial 16S ribosomal RNA
Rfam family: Bacterial small subunit ribosomal RNA
Source: RNAcentral